Molecule: long non-coding RNA, 1040 nt
Organism: Trichomycterus rosablanca
Lineage: Eukaryota; Metazoa; Chordata; Actinopteri; Siluriformes; Trichomycteridae
Exons: 2
Source: RefSeq, a predicted model, not a curated record
UAAUAAAAUGUAAUAACUGCUACUUUUUGGUCAGGGUAGCAGGGGCUUCAGUGACACCUUGAAACACUAAGUGGAGAGAGAAAUACACCCUGGACAGGGCAUCAGUCAGCUGCAGGCACAUCCAAUUGCCCAAUUGCAUCAUGCUUUCUCUCCACCAAUGCCGAUCCCAGCUCUGAUUGAGAAGAACGAAGCUAACCCACGCCCCCUUCAACAUGUGGGCAAAAAAUCCAAAACAAAUGUGGGCACCUUUCACUAAUAACUCAAUCACUUUUGGCACAGAGAACUCAGUGUUUGUUAACCCUUCAUGAUCAACAUUUCUAAGGGCAUAUUUUUUUAUGAAUAUGAAACAAUGAUGUAAAAUGAUGAAGGAAUGUAAGAGUGACUGGGGAAUGUGAGAAUUGAGGUCACCCAAGAAUUCAUUUGGAAAUAAUGGUAUUUAAAAGACGUUUGGUAUUUAAACGACGGGAUAUUCCACUAGCACACCAGCGCUGAGAUUCUGAACUCCUUGGUUCAAAAUUCGGCGUUGCCACCGGUCAGCUGGGCGCCAUCUAGCAGGCAUAAUUGGCAGUGCCUGCAGGGCGGGAUGACCGGACUAUGUGGGUGGGGUCUUUAAACGCUGUGUAAGGACCCUGAUUGGCAGAUAGAGAGGCAUCUGUGCAGAAUGAAUAAGUUAAAAAGGGUUCCGCUAAGGGCUGUGUGCGGGUUGGAUGAGGCAUGACCAGCAAUAUACCCACCUCAACUGCAAUCAGGGAUCCCCAGCAGUAGAAGACAAAUGACUACUCUAAAUUGGGAGAAAAUGCAUAAAUAAAAUUUAAAAAAGACAUCAUCAUUGAACAAUAAUAAAUAAAUAAAAAAAAAUAAUGAUGUUCAGAUUGAUGCUAAAUUGUACAAAUUGGUAGCUAUAAACGAUAAUUAGGGUAUAAAAAUGGUAGGGUAUAAAAGACCCUGCACAUUCUCAAGCUUCUGAGUUGCUUCUGGAAUCAGCCCAGUUUGUUUUGGAUUGUAAUAGCCUUAAUAAAAUCAUUGAUUAUUUUUCUACA